UACGGAGGGUGCGAGCGUUGUUCGGAUUUACUGGGCGUAAAGAGUACGUAGGCGGUUAAUUAAGUCUGGUGUUAAAGGCUGGGGCUCAACCCCAGUUUGGCAUUGGAUACUGAUUGACUGGAGGACAAUAGAGGAGGGCGGAAUUCCCAGUGUAGCGGUGAAAUGCGUAGAUAUUGGGAGGAACACCGGUGGCGUAGGCGGCCCUCUGGGUUGUUUCUGACGCUGAGGUACGAAAGCUCGGGGAGCAAACGGG
This 253-nucleotide ribosomal RNA is filed under the name uncultured bacterium. RNAcentral's name for it is "partial 16S ribosomal RNA". It matches the Rfam family "Bacterial small subunit ribosomal RNA", at positions 524 to 776 of the family's 1533-position model. The record is from RNAcentral.